This 468-nucleotide ribosomal RNA is filed under the name uncultured bacterium. RNAcentral describes it as "partial 16S ribosomal RNA". It matches the Rfam family "Bacterial small subunit ribosomal RNA", at positions 28 to 507 of the family's 1533-position model. The record is from RNAcentral.
GACGAACGCUGGCGGCGUGCUUAACACAUGCAAGUCGAACGGAAAGGCCCUGCUUUUGUGGGGUGCUCGAGUGGCGAACGGGUGAGUAACGCGUGAGUAACCUGCCCUUGACUUUGGGAUAACUUCAGGAAACUGGGGCUAAUACCGGAUAGGAGCUCCUGCUGCAUGGUGGGGGUUGGAAAGUUUCGGCGGUUGGGGAUGGACUCGCGGCUUAUCAGCUUGUUGGUGGGGUAGUGGCUUACCAAGGCUUUGACGGGUAGCCGGCCUGAGAGGGUGACCGGCCACAUUGGGACUGAGAUACGGCCCAGACUCCUACGGGAGGCAGCAGUGGGGAAUAUUGCACAAUGGGCGGAAGCCUGAUGCAGCAACGCCGCGUGCGGGAUGACGGCCUUCGGGUUGUAAACCGCUUUCGCCUGUGACGAAGCGUGAGUGACGGUAAUGGGUAAAGAGGCACCGGCUAACUACGUG